GCUGGGCGUAGUGGCACACGCCUGUAAUCCCAAAGGCUCAGGAGGCUGAGGCAGGAGGAUUAUGAGUUCAAAGGCAGCCUCAGCCACUUAGCAAGGUCCUAAGAAACUCAGUGAGACCCUGUCUCAU
Molecule: small RNA, 127 nt
Filed under: Marmota monax (woodchuck)
Lineage: Eukaryota; Metazoa; Chordata; Mammalia; Rodentia; Sciuridae
Source: RNAcentral